This 401-nucleotide ribosomal RNA is filed under the name uncultured bacterium. RNAcentral's name for it is "bacterial SSU rRNA". It matches the Rfam family "Bacterial small subunit ribosomal RNA", at positions 331 to 730 of the family's 1533-position model. The record is from RNAcentral.
CCCAACUCCUACGGGAGGCAGCAGUGAGGAAUAUUGGUCAAUGGACGCAAGUCUGAACCAGCCAUGCCGCGUGCAGGAAGACGGCUCUAUGAGUUGUAAACUGCUUUUGUACGAGGGUAAACGCAGAUACGUGUAUCUGUCUGAAAGUAUCGUACGAAUAAGGAUCGGCUAACUCCGUGCCAGCAGCCGCGGUAAUACGGAGGAUGCGAGCGUUAUCCGGAUUUAUUGGGUUUAAAGGGUGCGCAGGCGGUCUGUUAAGUCAGCGGUCAAAGCCCGGGGCUCAACCCGGUCGUGCCGUUGAAACUGACGCGCUUGAGUGAGUGAGAAGUAAGCGGAAUGCGUGGUGUAGCGGUGAAAUGCAUAGAUAUCACGCAGAACGCCGAUUGCGAAGGCAGCUUACC